AACGAACGCUGGCGGCAUGCCUAACACAUGCAAGUCGAACGAGACCUUCGGGUCUAGUGGCGCACGGGUGCGUAACGCGUGGGAACCUGCCCUUAGGUUCGGAAUAACUCCCCGAAAGGGGUGCUAAUACCGGAUAAUGUCUUCGGACCAAAGAUUUAUCGCCUUUGGUUGGGCCCGCGUUGGAUUAGCUAGUUGGUAGGGUAAAAGCCUACCAAGGCGACGAUCCAUAGCUGGUCUGAGAGGAUGAUCAGCCACACUGGGACUGAGACACGGCCCAGACUCCUACGGGAUGCAGCAGUGGGGAAUAUUGCACAACGGGCGAAAGGCUGAUCCAGCUAUGACGCGUGAGUGAUGAAGGCCUUAGGGUUGUAAAGCUCUUUUACCCGGGAUGAUAAUGACAGUACCGGGAGAAUAAGCCCCGGCUAACUCCGUG
RNAcentral lists this ribosomal RNA (433 nucleotides) under uncultured bacterium. RNAcentral's name for it is "partial 16S ribosomal RNA". It matches the Rfam family "Bacterial small subunit ribosomal RNA", at positions 29 to 507 of the family's 1533-position model. The record is from RNAcentral.